CCCUUAGAUGUCCGGGGCCGCACGCGCGCUACACUGAAGGAAUCAGCGUGGCUUUCUCCCUGACCCGAAAGGGUUGGGAAACCCGUUGAAUCUCCUUCGUGAUAGGGAUUGGGGCUUGAAAUUGUUCCCCAUGAACGAGGAAUUCCCAGUAAGCGCGAGUCAUAAGCUCGCGUUGAUUACGUCCCUGCCCUUUGUACACACCGCCCGUCGCUACUACCGAUUGAACGGUUUAGUGAGGGCCUCGGAUUGGUCUCGGCCCGCUCUUUACCGGGCGGCGCCGUUGGUCGAGAAGACGCUCGAACUUGAUCGUUUAAAGGAAGUAAAAGUCGUAACA
This 334-nucleotide ribosomal RNA is filed under the name uncultured eukaryote. Its description in RNAcentral is "partial 18S ribosomal RNA". It matches the Rfam family "Eukaryotic small subunit ribosomal RNA", at positions 1470 to 1796 of the family's 1831-position model. The record is from RNAcentral.